This 31-nucleotide non-coding RNA is filed under the name Homo sapiens (human). The record is from RNAcentral. Lineage: Eukaryota; Metazoa; Chordata; Mammalia; Primates; Hominidae.
UGUACCACUCGUUAGUAGUCUGGUUGGUGGC